Molecule: long non-coding RNA, 1410 nt
Organism: Pyrgilauda ruficollis (rufous-necked snowfinch)
Lineage: Eukaryota; Metazoa; Chordata; Aves; Passeriformes; Passeridae
Exons: 3
Source: RefSeq, a predicted model, not a curated record
AGAUGGGGUGUCCCUGCAGCUCCCCCACCAGUCCUGGCCGAUGGACUCCUGUCAAUUGUCUGAUCUAGGACCAAAACCAAGCUGAACAGUUCAAGGAAAAAAACCCCAAAAGCUGCCAAAGGAUUGCUGUCGCUGCCUUCAAGUCCAGGGAAAAGGAAAAAAAACUUCUUGCCUAAGGUGUCAGCUGUGAUGCAUGUUUAAAAGGAAAUUUUCGAGGUCGCAGAUACAAGUGUUUAAUUUGCUACGAUUACGAUUUGUGUGCAACUUGUUAUGAGAGUGGUGCAACAACAACAAGGCAUACAACUGACCAUCCAAUGCAGUGCAUACUAACAAGAGUAGAUUUUGGCAGGUGCCAAGGGGAUGGUGCCAGAUUGUUCAGUGGUGCCCAGCUACAGGACAAGAAGCAAUGGCCAUAAACUAAAGCACAAGGAGUUCCACCUCAACAUGAGGAAGAACCUCUUUCCAUCGAGGAUGGCAGAGCACUGGAACAGGCUGCCCAGGGAGGGCAUGGAGUCUUCCUCUCUGAAGACAUUCAAAACCCGCCCAGAUGUGUUCCUGUGUAACCUGCUCUAGAUGACCCUGCCUUGGCAGUUUUGGACUAGAUAACCUCCAGAGGUCCCUUCUAAACCUAACAAUUCUGUGAUUGUAGUGUAGAUAUUGUUGUUGAAGUUUUUAUUUUUUUAGUAAUUUUUUUAGCUUUUUGAUUUAAAAAAAGUAUUGAAUAUACACAUUAUGCUAAUUCCUACAUGCAUUUAAAGCUUAAAACAGCUGAAUAUACCAAUAUAUAGCUUCUUUCUCAGAGCUCUCUGAGCAGAGAAGGAUCUCAAUCAUGUUUAAUUCUCCAAUAGCUGCUUGCCCUAAGCCUGCCUUGUAAUGACUUUGAAAUCUGUGCUCUGAGAAUCCAGAGUUUGGAAAGAUAAAUUUAAAUGUACAAAUCUAGUUUUGAAAAUGCUAUCACUGAAGUUUCUAGAUAUUUGGACCCUGGCCCCUCGCAGUCUUACAAGGACAAAAGUAAAAGACUAGAGGCGCUCUUUCCUCUUGGGACGAUCAUUCCACUUUAUUGUGGAACCACUCCAGGGAGGUCCAAGGGAAGCAAAAAGAGAUCAGAGGUCUCUUCCCCAGAGAUUUUAAGCCCGGGAAAGGGGGGCGGAGGAGAGGGGCCACAGCCAAUGGGAUACAAGUGAGGAGAGGGUGAGGGGAGGAGUAGACAAGGUAGAAACCACCACCAAUGGGGCUUAGAGGAGAGGAGAAGACCAUGUGAUAUGAGAGGGGAAUCCCAUGAGGAUACAAACAUACUAUUCAGUGCAAAAUACAAAACCCAGUGUAAAACAACGACUAAAUAAACUAAUUAGUGCAAAACAACACCAAUAUUCCUUCUUAAACUUUACUUUUCUGCUUUUUCACAGGGUA